CCUACGGGAGGCAGCAGUGAGGAAUAUUGGUCAAUGGACGAGAGUCUGAACCAGCCAAGUAGCGUGAAGGAUGACUGCCCUAUGGGUUGUAAACUUCUUUUAUAUGGGAAUAAAAUGUUCCACGUGUGGGAUUUUGUAUGUACCAUAUGAAUAAGGAUCGGCUAACUCCGUGCCAGCAGCCGCGGUAAUACGGAGGAUCCGAGCGUUAUCCGGAUUUAUUGGGUUUAAAGGGAGCGUAGGUGGAUUGUUAAGUCAGUUGUGAAAGUUUGCGGCUCAACCGUAAAAUUGCAGUUGAAACUGGCAGUCUUGAGUAGAGUAGAGGUGGGCGGAAUUCGUGGUGUAGCGGUGAAAUGCUUAGAUAUCACGAAGAACUCCGAUUGCGAAGGCAGCUUACUGGACUGCAACUGACACUGAGGCACGAAAGUGUGGGUAUCAAACAGGAUUAGAUACCCCAGUAGUC
This 460-nucleotide ribosomal RNA is filed under the name uncultured bacterium. RNAcentral's name for it is "partial 16S ribosomal RNA". It matches the Rfam family "Bacterial small subunit ribosomal RNA", at positions 338 to 795 of the family's 1533-position model. The record is from RNAcentral.